UACGUAGGGUGCAAGCGUUAUCCGGAAUUAUUGGGCGUAACGAGCUCGUAGGCGGUUUGUCGCGUCUUCUGUGAACACUGGAGGCUCACCCUCCAGCCUGCAGUGGGUACGGGCAAACUAGAGUGCGGUAGGGGAGAUUGGAAUUCCUGGUGUAGCGGUGGAAUGCGCAGAUAUCAGGAAGAACACCGAUGGCGAAGGCAGUGGGCUGGGCCGGCACUGACGCUGAGGAGCGAAAGCGUGGGGAGCGAACAGG
This 253-nucleotide ribosomal RNA is filed under the name uncultured bacterium. Its description in RNAcentral is "partial 16S ribosomal RNA". It matches the Rfam family "Bacterial small subunit ribosomal RNA", at positions 524 to 776 of the family's 1533-position model. The record is from RNAcentral.